ACACAUGAACAUUGACAAUUCGAACGCACAUUGCGGCCCUA
Molecule: ribosomal RNA, 41 nt
Filed under: Frankliniella bispinosa
Lineage: Eukaryota; Metazoa; Arthropoda; Insecta; Thysanoptera; Thripidae
Description: partial 5.8S ribosomal RNA
Source: RNAcentral